Small nucleolar RNA from Saimiri boliviensis boliviensis (Bolivian squirrel monkey), 104 nucleotides. Lineage: Eukaryota; Metazoa; Chordata; Mammalia; Primates; Cebidae. The record is from Ensembl.
GAAUGGGGUGAGCUUCUAACCCAUGCCAGAGCAAACUGUGUCCCCAAACCAUUGCCUGGCCUCUGUGCCUGUAGGCUGCUGGCACUGAAAUGGCUUGCACAGUG